This 253-nucleotide ribosomal RNA is filed under the name uncultured bacterium. Its description in RNAcentral is "partial 16S ribosomal RNA". It matches the Rfam family "Bacterial small subunit ribosomal RNA", at positions 524 to 776 of the family's 1533-position model. The record is from RNAcentral.
UACGUAGGGUGCAAGCGUUGUCCGGAAUUACUGGGCGUAAAGCGCACGUAGGCGGCUUUGUAAGUUAGAGGUGAAAGCCCGGAGCUCAACUCCGGAAUUGCCUUUAAGACUGCAUCGCUAGAAUUGUGGAGAGGUGAGUGGAAUUCCGAGUGUAGAGGUGAAAUUCGUAGAUAUUCGGAAGGACACCAGUGGCGAAGGUGACUCACUGGACACAUAUUGACGCUGAGGUGCGAAAGCGUGGGGAGCAAACAGG